CCGCAGCCCCGGCCCGGCCUCUCCGGACACUUUGCAGAGUUACCGCAGGGAGAGAGCUCUGCCAGGCGCGGGCAGGAGCUGCGGGAAACGACGUCCUUCCAACAAGUAAAUCAUCCCCGGGGGAAGAGGAGGGACCAGAGCUACGCCGGGACAGCCCAUAAAGCGCGAGCUGGGAUCCUGGAGAAGCUGCCGCUCACCCAAAUAGUGGGACUUCUAGAGAUGCGGUGCUUGUAAAGCAGAAGGACCUCCAGGAGGAUGAGGGGGCAGGAACAAGGCAGAAGGAAGUGCUGGCUUUCUAGGACACAGCCACCCACAGGCUCCUCCAGACACCUUCUCAACAGCAAGGCCAUGGCCAGGGGAAACCUGACAUUUCAUCCUCCUCCCAUCAUUCACAGCACAGGCUUUUCAGAGUCUAUGCUGUGAUGGAGAGGCAGGAGGUAGGACAUAAAAGGAGGGGGAAGGUCUGGGGGUUUGCAUACAGUUGUGCUCCUGCACCUCAUUGCAGUUGUCUGUGACAAGGCAGGACUCAACUGAGCAGCACUGUGAAGUUCAGAUUUGCUACUGCACAUCAACCAAGUGAUACUGGAGCUGCUGCACAGCAGCCCUGAUGGAACAGGACAACAGCCUCCCUGCAGCUGCCCAAGCUCACCCAUGGCCACAAUGCCACAACAGCAUCAUGGCUUUGCAAGAAGUCACAAGAGAAGGUGAGUGUUCAAGCUUCAACAUCUUUAUUAAAGCAGACAGCAGGUAAUCCAGAACCCCACAAGAGAAACUGAGUGUUCAAACUUCAAAAACACUUUAUUCAAGCAAACAGCAGGUAAAUCCAGAAACAGUUUAGCACCCCACAGCAGUCAGAUGCCAGCAGUGAGCAAGGCAUCCCAACAUCCCAGUAGUCACAGCUGUGCUGCCUAGCCAGGAGACAAGCUUUGUCUUUUGUCUCUCUCUGCUGGCUAUAAAGCACAAGAUUAAGUUUGCAAUCAAGAUGCAUGCAAACACCACAGUGAGGACUCCCAGACAGCAGCUCUUAGAUGCCAUCCAGAAAAACGUCACUAGAAACUAGAAUGUCAGAGAAAACAUUAACACAGACACGGCCGUAGGAAGUUAGAGAGUUAAGAGAAGUUAAGGAAGAACAACAAGUUGCACAAGCCUGGGCAUCAGGUUUCUAGAGACCGAUGAAAAUCCAGCCCUCCAAGCUGGUGAGCACUGAGCUCAGUAACUAGGCUGGGGGCCAGUCCCUGCCCUUUCCUUGUAGAGCUCCAGCUGAACAUGUUCCUUCCCUCAAGGACUACUGCUGGGCCUCAGGUCACUCACUCAGGUUAGGUUUACAUGCCAGAUUGAACUGCAGAGUUUAGGUUAAAACUAAGCUGUGGGUUAGAUUUAAAUGCCAAAUCAAACUGCAAAGAACAACCAACAGCCCCUGGGAACAGGCAGUGCAGUUUAGCAGAUGUGUUAGCAGGUGUCACACAUCAGCAGUGCUCAGCUUCAGGUCACAUAGCAGAGUGGCACCAUUAGAGAGCUGACACUGAUUUUCCUCCCUCCAUUCAACACCCAAGGGGGCAAGACUGGAAUUUCCAGCCAGAACUGGAGAGUGAGCAGCCCAUGCCCACACACCAGCACCCUCCCAGUGCCACAGCAGGCCAGCCUCUCUAAGUGCUACAUGUACCCAUCCAGAGCAGUGACCAGAGCCCUCCAGACAGCUAUGAGCCCCAAGCCCUGCAUUCACCUUUAAUUCCUCAGGUCUUUGUAACUAAUUUGAAGGAAAUUUACAACACCACAGAGCACACAGUCUAACUUGACUAGUUUCCACUAAACACUCAAGCACCACUCUUGUGACUGAAGGCAGGAAGCCAAUUCAAGACAGCACAGCUAUUUGAAACGGUUCAGCCUAUGGAGGAGGAAGUGUCUAAGGAUGUACAUAACAGACUGAAGAUUGUAUCUGCAUCACCACAGGAGAGUGAAAAAAUAGGACUGCAGGAAAUUAAUCCAUGUUAGAUACUAACCAUCAAGCUUCGCAGAUGACAUUGCGUGAUAAGCAUAGAACAAUUAUGGGAAACACUGUCCCCGAUAAUUAAGUACACCCAUAGUGCAACAUAUGGAGGUCACUGCCUCCGAUAUAACACUGUGGUAGGCAAAAACUACCUUGUUCUUUACACAUUAUGGGAGACACUGCCCCCGAUAAUGUCAGUUAGGUUUCAUGAUACAUAAGGUACUGGAAGUUUGCAGGAAGCUGCCUUUUGAAAAUCGUGCCAAUGCCUAAUCUGACGUACAGGGAGUUUCUGUGUGUUGCCACAGGUGGAACUAGGGCUACACAGCAAGGCCCUCUGCUGGGACUAGGGCUAGGAAGGAAGCUGUGCUCCCUGUGAGAGCACAUGGCAUCCAGAAAGGGGAGCAGGGAGAAGUCUGAAGCCCACAGAGGGGCACAGACCCUGCAAGGAAGACAAAUUUCUGGUAUUGGAAUUUCGACCCAGAUUAUCAGCAUUUCAAGGAUUACUUUGGAGCGCAACCUGGAUACUCACUGCCAGGUUUGCACCUUCAAGUUUCUUCCAGAGGGGUGUUUUCGCCACAGAAAGCUUAAUUGCUAGUUUUCCAAAACUUUUUGAGGGUCUUGUUUUGAUUAUUUUAAAUGCAAAGUUCCAGUAUCAUGUUUGAUUGUAAUAGCAGAUGCUGCUUUAUUCAAAAACGACAGUAUAACUGUCAUAAUUAUGGAAGGCACUGCUUCCGAUAAUUAUCUUCUAUAAAAAAACCACACCAUUUAUAGUGAACACUGUCACUGAUAAAUAAAUAAAGAAAUAAAUAUCUCAGUGCCAAACAAGAGCCAGCCUGCAAAAUGACAUCAGUCAAACAGAGUUUGGCCAGCAAGGGACUCGAUUUCACACAAGGCCCCUGAAGCAGCAAGGUCUGAAGUGCCAGUCUAAAGACAUUUCUGCUGCAGGACUUGCUGAGGUGCCAGCCAAGGAUAUCAAGGGGACAUUGAAAAAUCUUUGGGUCAUUUUCCCUGGGUAUUGAUACCUGCCUUGGCAGAAGCAAGCCUGCAAGAUGUCACUGGGACCUUGCUGUUGAGUAAAGGCAGGCAGGCACUUCAGAGCUUGCUGAUAAUCCAGCACUUGCGGGCAAUUACUACUACAUUGUUUAAUUUUUGAACUGCAGCUCCCUGCUAGAGAAGGGACCCUUGUUAACAAAUGUUCAGAGGAAUCCAUUCCCUGUUUUGUCACUAGGUUUAGGUGGCCAACAAUUACAAGCCUGAAUAGAUGAGGUACCUCCCCACUCAAGGUACCAGUUCAGGAAACACCUGAGUUCUUAGUUUUUAAGUACACUGGAGCAGCUGUACAUGACCAGUUUGGACUGAGGUUAGGUGGGAGCCUGGUGAGAGACUUCAUGGUAAUCUUACUACUGCUUUAAAACUGCCUCCUGUGAAUUUGUCAAGGUGAGAUUUAAAUUUUAUGCUCAACUUUGGUCAAAAAUGUUUUGCUGCCAGAACAUGGCAU
Non-coding RNA from Zonotrichia albicollis (white-throated sparrow), 3485 nucleotides. Lineage: Eukaryota; Metazoa; Chordata; Aves; Passeriformes; Passerellidae. The record is from RefSeq and is a predicted model, not a curated record.